UACUAUUAAAGAAGGAUCGAACGUCGUGAUGGUUCAACCUCGAUCGAUGGUUCGACCUCGCCUUCGCUACCUCCACCUUGUUCGACAAAAAUCGCAGGAAAUAGAACCCCACGUUCCAUGGUAGCGAAAAAAUCGAGAUAACCCACACGUUCUCCACCUUCUCCCCAACCUGUCCAUCUUAUCUCCAGAUCUCUUUGGCACGAACCCGAACGACCCGGCUCUCUCCUCUCCUCGCGACCGCGCGGCGCCCUCCCUCUCUAGGUUGGCCAUAGCCCGAGCCCCCGGGCGACGACCGUCCGAGCCACUCUACCGUCAUGGAUUGAAGGAGGCAGCGGCGGGGGGCGGUGCGGAUCCCAUCUUACCCUCCACCGUCACGUAUGGAAGGAAGCCAUGGCAACCAGCUGUCCGAAUCCAAUCCUCCGCCUGGCAGUUAUGUGCGGCUCCCUUCGCCGGAGCUUCUCUGCACAUGUACAUUGUCUCGUCGGUCUUUUCAUCCCUUCCGUCGGCACGCACCGGCGCUGCUGACCCGUGGUUGACCAGCAGCGGAGGCGUGUGUCAGGAGUCUCCAGCCGCUGCAUGCUACAUUAUCAGGUUUGAUCUUCUGUUAAAUCUUGAUCCCUUCAGUUUCCGUUUGGAAUAUUCCAUUCUUGUUAGUGAUCAUCAGGGAUGCCAUCAGCCCUCAUAUCUGGACAGAUAUAUGGGAUUUUUCAUCUGUGUGUAGUUCAAUUGGCAUAUUAUUAGCCAUCUGAUAAAAUUGCCUAAAGGUGACCGCCGAAUACCAUCCCCUCACCGAUGAGGCCUAGAAGAUGGUUAAACUCUCACAAGGUGAACACCAUGGGGUAAAGCUAGCUUAUAAUUUAGCGGCGGCGUGGUGUCAUCAUGGUCGGAGGAGGCAACUCAUAUGGGGAUGCCAAGGUGAUCAAUCAGAAUUCUAUCGCUGCUGUUGCACCAAAUAUCUUUACAGCUGCUAUUUUUUUAAAUAUCACAAAUACAGAUUAUUUUGUCAAUGCAACAAAAUGAUCAAUCUCAAUCUGGGACAAUGCAUUACUCAUGGUAUCUCUACUAUUAAAGAGGGAUCGAACGUCGUGAUGGUUCAACCUCGAUCGAUGGUUCGACCUCGCCUUCGCUACCUCCACCUUGUUCGACAAAAAUCGCAGGAAAUAGAACCCCACGUUCCAUGGUAGCGAAAAAAUCGAGGUAACCCACACGUUCUCCACCUUCUCCCCGACCUGUCCAUCUCAUCUCCAGAUCUCUUUGGCACGAACCCGAACGACCCGGCUCUCUCCUCUCCUCGCGACCGCGCGGCGCCCUCCCUCUCUAGGUUGGCCAUAGCCCGAGCCCCCGGGCGACGACCGUCCGAGCCACUCUACCGUAAUGGAUUGAAGGAGGCAGUGGCGGGGGGCGGUGCGGAUCCCAUCUUACCCUUCACCGUCACGUAUGGAAGGAAGCCAUGGCAACCAGCUGUCCGAAUCCAAUCCUCCGCCUGGCAAUUAUGUGCGGCUCCCUUCGCCGGAGCUUCUCUGCACAUGUACAUUGUCUCGUCGGUCUCUUCAUCCCUUCCGUUGGCACGCACCGGCGCUGCUGACCCGUGGUUGACCAGCAGCGGAGGCGUGUGUCAGGAGUCUCCAGCCGCUGCAUGCUACAUUAUCAGGUUUGAUCUUCUGUUAAAUCUUGAUCCCUUCAGUUUCCGUUUGGAAUAUUCCAUUCUUGUUAGUGAUCAUCAGGGAUGCCAUCAGCCCUCAUAUCUGGACAGAUAUAUGGGAUUUUUCAUCUGUGUGUGGUUCAAUUGGCAUAUUAUUAGCCAUCUGAUAAAAUUGCCUAAAGGUGACCGCCGAAUACCAUCCCCUCACCGAUGAGGCCUAGAAGAUGGUUAAACUCUCACAAGGUGAACACCAUGGGGUAAAGCUAGCUUAUAAUUUAGCGGCGGCGUGGUGUCAUCAUGGUCGGAGGAGGCAACUCAUAUGGGGAUGCCAAGGUGAUCAAUCAGAAUUCUAUCGCUGUUGUUGCACCAAAUAUCUUUACAGCUGCUAUUUUUUUAAAUAUCCCAAAUACAGAUUAUUUUGUCAAUGCAACAAAAUGAUCAAUCUCAAUCUGGGACAAUGCAUUACUCAUGGUAUACUUAAUAAUUAAGUGGAGUUCCAAAAGCGACGGUGAUGGUUGUGCCACCACCAACAGCAGAGAAGAAAGAGGCGUGGCAGUGGUGGUGCAAAAAGAGCGAUAGAGAAGUGGGAGGAAACUAAGUAGCGGCAUUGGUGUAAGGACUAAGGAAGAAGGGGAGAGCAUGGAGAGCAAGAUGAGGUUCUGGGGAAAUGCGACAGGGUAGUCGCUCCCUAAGCCUAUCGGCAUGACCCAAUUCACUCCAAUUUUUUUCCAGGUUCAGUUUUGUUAGCAUUGGUAUUCACAUUCUACUAUUCAGAGAAAAAUAUAUUCAUUAUUACAGGAUGGAAGUUAUCUGUACUUUUGUUUUGUACAUUUUUACAGCUAUACCUUUUUUUAAUGCCAUUAUGGCUUUUUUACAGCUAUGCCUUACUGGAAGUGAGCCAGGCCCUUGAAAAAAACUCACGGUAGUCACUUCGUUCAGUAACAUUUUUGCAUGUAUAGCAUGUAGGUUUCAUUCACAUCUAGCAAAAGACUCUCCAGACAACGGAGGUUUGCUUUGUAGACUUUAUUUUCUAAUACAGUCAAACUUCAACAUAUAUUUACUUUUUUUGUUAAUCAAUACACACAUUCAAUUGAACAUACUACCCGCAGAAAAGUAGUCAGUCAAACAUGCUUGCAUUUACUUAGAUGGUAUAUAGGUCCGAAUUAAUGAUUGUAGGUGUUGACAUACUAUGUACAAUGUAAGAGAACGACAUGGAUGAUAUAUUAUUAGAGGAAAAAAUGAAAGAAUUAGGGUGGAUGUUAAUUUGCUGGAAGUGAGUACUCCACUACAAUGCUUCUAAUAGCUUUAUAGUUCUAUAUAUGAUGCAAACGUAUGUGUUCAGGAGCCGUUUUUGCUACGGAACUCUGAAGCAGGUGGUUGAAGUAAACACUGGACGGAGAAAGACUUUGCAUAUUCUAGCAGCAGACUCAAAGCUGCUGGUGCGAAAACAGAAUUUGCACCGUACAACAGGCAAAGCCUCACUAUAGAGUUCCGCCUAGGGAUACGCUUUUUGCUAAGUUUUAUGAUGCAAACCUAUGUGUUCGGGAGCCUUUUUUUCUACGGAAAUCUGAAGCAUGUGGUUGAAGUAAAUACUGUACGGAAAGAGUUUGCAUAUUCAGCAGCAGUGCAGGCUGCUGGUACGACAACAGAAUCUGUCCAAGCUGAAGUGAAACACAUACGGCAAACUGUCAAUCUUGUAUCGAAUGAGAGCCAAAAAUUGAUGGUAACUGCCUUCAUCUUAUCAGGACCAGAUAGGAAGAUCUCCUGAGUACACGGUCGAGAGGAAGCUCGGCAAAGGGGGGCUCGACCAUGUUUUCGCCAGCCGGCAUUUAGCUGGUGCAACAGGAUAGUCCACAUGUGCGAGUGCUCAACAGAUGGGUGCUAUUUUUACAUGUUCCCUGCUUUCUUACUAUACCCUUUGCCAAAAAAAAAAACUUUGGCGACGGGUUUUGUACUCACUGAUGUGAAGCAAGAGGAAAGCUAAUUGCACAUUUGGUCA
Molecule: long non-coding RNA, 3641 nt
Organism: Triticum aestivum (bread wheat)
Lineage: Eukaryota; Viridiplantae; Streptophyta; Magnoliopsida; Poales; Poaceae
Exons: 2
Source: RefSeq, a predicted model, not a curated record